AGACUUCCACUCGGCUGAGCUGUCUCUGAAGGUGAGGAGGAGAAAUGGCCCAUUGCUGGAGGGUACAUAGAUUUCAGGAGGCAGCCGCCCUGCCAAAGCUUUCUGAGUGACAUUGGCACAGAACAGUGGCUGUCUCCAGGCCAGCAGUUAACAUUUACCCAGGGAGUGGUUUUCUCUGCCUCCAGUCCGAUGGAAUUCAAGGUUUCCACUACCAUGGAAAGAAGCCUAAGCAUCUGAACCAGGGUGGGGAAAAGAGCUCAAGUUCGGAAAAAAGGUGAUAGCAUGUUACAACCACAGAUGAACACCAAGAGCUGAACUCAAUACUCUGCACAAAGUGCCUGGGAAACCAAAGCUUACAGCAUGUUCUCCUGGAGAAAGAGCAGUGCUGUGAAUGUGACAAAAAUACACGCUCUGGGUCUCUUUGAAUUCAAAGAAAGUAUUUCACUAUAUGGCAUUAAAUGCAAAAAUAUGACAUGUGAAAGUACUGAGGUAGUAACAUGAAAGAGAAGGAUAUUUAUGUUUUAAAAUCUCCAACUGUUACACAAAUUACAUUACUUUUUUUCUUUAGGGAUACAAAAUUUGCAUACAGAAGAGGGAAAAUGUUGGGGGGAUAAAAAUAAGGUGGAGUAACACAAUCCUCAGUUCAGAUCUUCCUCGAAGUAUUGAAAGAAACCAGAAGGAAAGCAGAGGCAAAGCUUCCAACACUACUGUAAGUUACUCAGUAAAAGUCUUCAGGAGCACAUGUCUUUGAAGUACCACGGGGAAGGCUCAAUCCUAUUACAGCCCUCCUGAGGAAGUGUUAAUCUUCUAGACAAAGAAACCAAGGCUCACUUUUUAUGAACUGACAUGUACUUCUGAUUGCUUCUGGCUUGGUUUAUUUGUUUCUUUAAGGCUCAUCAAACCUGAUUUUUUUCCUGAACCACUAAACCUGCAGUUCAACUCAAAGGCAAAGGGAAGCUGCUGUGAAAGAUCAGGCCACUUUCUUUUGGGAAGGGAAUAGAUUUGGGAAUUUAUGGGCCCGUAUUCUCCUGUAAUUGAUGAAAUGCCAGCAUUGUGGAAAUCAAUAAAACAGCCUAUCGCCAAAAAUGGCACUAGCAUUGGGAUUGUAUUCUUGAUUUAGAAAUUGCUGGCUAUGUCAAAAAAAAAAAAAAAAAAAAAAAAAAAAAAAAAAAAAAAAAAGCAGAAGACAAAA
Prinia subflava (tawny-flanked prinia) is the source of this 1192-nucleotide long non-coding RNA. RefSeq lists it as uncharacterized. The transcript is spliced from 2 exons. Lineage: Eukaryota; Metazoa; Chordata; Aves; Passeriformes; Cisticolidae. The record is from RefSeq and is a predicted model, not a curated record.